CUAAGCCAUGCAAGUCAAGGAGUUCUUCGGAACGACUGGCGAAUCGCUGAGUAACACGUCAGUAACCUGCCCUAAAGUCUAGAAUAGCCUCGGGAAACUGAGGGUAAUACUGGAUAGAAAUUUUCUUCUGGAAUGGGAUAAUUUCUAAAGAUUUAUCGUUUUAGGAUGGGCUGGCGGCUGAUUAGGUUGAUGGUGGGGUAAUGGCCCACCAUGCCGACGAUCAGUAGGGGCCAUGAGAGUGGGAGCCCCCAGAAGGACACUGAGAUACUGGUCCUAGCCCUACGGGGUGCAGCAGGCGCGAAACCUUUACAAUGCACGCAAGUGUGAUAAGGGAACUCCAAGUGCUUAUGCACAGCAUAGGCUUUUUUUAAGAGUAAAUAUCUUAAAGAAUAAGUGGUGGGAAAGACUGGUGCCAGCAGCCGCGGUAACCCCAGCGCCACGAGUGGCAAUCAUGUUUAUUGGGUCUAAAGCGUCCGUAGUCGGUUUGAUCAAUCUCUUGUGAAAGUGUAGGGCUUAACCUUACAACCUGCAGGAGAUAUUGUCAAACUAGGGACCGGGAGGAGUUAGGAGUAUUUCUGAGGGAGCGGUAAAAUGUUAUAAUCUCAGACAGACUACCUGUGGCGAAGGCGCCUAACUAGAACGGAUCCGACGAUGAGGGACGAAGGCCAGGGGAGCGAACCGGAUUAGAUACCCGAGUAGUCCUGGCAGUAAACGCUGUGUGCUAGGUGUUGUACAUUCUUUAAGGAUGUGCAGUGUCGAAGCGAAGGCGAUAAGCACACCACCUGGGAAGUACGGUCGCAAGACUGAAACUUAAAGGAAUUGGCGGGGGAGCACCACAAGGGGUGCAGCGUGCGGUUUAAUCUAACUCAACACAGAAAAUCUCACCAGCAGCGACGGCAGGAUGAUGGUCAGUCUAAAGGGCUUACCGGACGAGCCGAGAGGUAGUGCAUGGCCGCCGUCAGCUCGUGCCGUAAGGUGUCCUGUUAAGUCAGGUAACGAGCGAGACCUGUGCUUACAAUUGCCAGUGGGUCCUUCGGGAUGACCGGGCACAUUGUAGGGACCGCCCUGGAAACAGGGAGGAAGGUGCAGGCUACGGUAGGUCUGUAUGCUCCGAAUCUGCUGGGCUACACGCGCGCGACAAUGGUAAGGACAAUGGGAUACUACUCCGAAAGGAGACGUUAAACCUCGAAACCUUAUCCAAGUGCAGAUCGUGGCUUGGAACUCAGCCACGUGACGAUGGAAUCCCUAGUAAUCGGCUUUCAACAAAUGCCGGUGAAUAUGUCCCUGCUCCUUGCACACACCGCCCGUCAAACCACUCGAGCAGAGUUAUAGUGAGUCUUAGUUUUUUGAUUAAGCCAAACUGUAGCUCAGUGAGAUGGGUUAAGUCAUCACAAGGUA
RNAcentral lists this ribosomal RNA (1398 nucleotides) under metagenome. RNAcentral's name for it is "bacterial SSU rRNA". It matches the Rfam family "Archaeal small subunit ribosomal RNA". The record is from RNAcentral.